RNAcentral lists this long non-coding RNA (870 nucleotides) under Dermacentor andersoni. Its description in RNAcentral is "uncharacterized LOC126539940". Lineage: Eukaryota; Metazoa; Arthropoda; Arachnida; Ixodida; Ixodidae. The record is from RNAcentral.
GCAUACUGUCCAGUAAUACGACGAAUGCUACUGCAAACAUGCUAUGCCUGCACGGACUUGUGCUUUUUGCAAUGCGUCUCCAUAGCGACCACAACACGUGCGUGCCCUUCAUGCAAGCCACGCCAACACCAUCGCGCGAAAAGCGCUGUCGAGCUCCCCCAGCACAGUUUUAAAAAUGAAGCUUUUCUUGGCGAACCACGGUGGCUUUCAUGUCCGUGGCUGCGGCCUGGCCUCGCUGUUCUCUUGCCGAAUACGCCAAGCAAUCCCAGCAGAGUACGCACCACGCUCGCAGCUGGGUGCCUUGCACCACCACCAGAUGGCGCUCGCAUCCGUGGCAGCGGCGGCCAUGCGGAGGAAAGAAAUAAGAGGACCCCGAAAGCUCGUCUUCGCGGUUAUCAGGGAGUAAACCCUCCUUGCGGAUAGAAUGGAUUCGAAUGUCGCUAUGUACGUGCGCGCAUGCUGUCUCCGAAACCAUGAUGCGUUCAAGGCGUCUGUCGUACUCGCUAGUAGUCAGCAACUCCGCUUAACUCAGUAUAAUUUGUGUGUGCCGGCGCUUGUGCAUGGGUGUGUGUGUGUGCCUUUCCCUUGUCGAUCAGUCUUCUACAGUGUCUACUGAAAGAGCCAGGGAGAGCCAUGAAUUUCCCGCACACAGCCAUUGUGCUGAUCCACUUUGAGAAAUAAAGGAAUCCACGAGGCAGUUAUGCACCAUCAUGCUUUAUUCAUGAUUGACACUUGAUUGAGUGACAAUUUACGUUUUCAUAUUGCGCAGUCAACGAGAUCGAGCAUGUACACUUCCUUCUGAUGUCUAGUACAACAAGCGAACGGAAUGGCAGCAUUUCAACACUCCUGCACGACUGCGACGUCUAACAA